This 279-nucleotide long non-coding RNA is filed under the name Solanum tuberosum (potato). Its description in RNAcentral is "long non-coding RNA (STUB_LNC002606)". The record is from RNAcentral. Lineage: Eukaryota; Viridiplantae; Streptophyta; Magnoliopsida; Solanales; Solanaceae.
GCGAUCCAAACACAUUGACCAGAUACUGUACAUAUCUUAUCUAGUACAUUUAUGUUGUUGUAGUUAAAAAACAUGUAUCUAGACUUUUGGCAUGGGCUGGCCGCCUAGGUGCAUUGAUCAUCUCUUCUCUUUUGUUGGUGAUGCGCUCCUAGUCUUAAAUGGCCGGGUUGUGCCUGCGGUAUUGCUACUUUGAAUUUAUUAGAGUUCUCAAAGCAAACCUAUCAUCCGUAUAUAGUAAGUAACUAUUAUAUGCUGACAUUUUCCCCUGUUAGGAGCUGG